This 239-nucleotide long non-coding RNA is filed under the name Coccomyxa subellipsoidea. RNAcentral's name for it is "long non-coding RNA (CSUB_LNC000270)". Lineage: Eukaryota; Viridiplantae; Chlorophyta; Trebouxiophyceae; Coccomyxaceae. The record is from RNAcentral.
CGGCCGGCUGCGCGCAGCUUCCGGGCCUUGGCAGCUUCCUUCUUCACCCGGCGAAUCUCCUUUGCCUUCGCACGUUUGGCGGCCAGCUUGGCGCUGCGCGCGCUGUUCGGGUCUGCCGCCUUUCCGGGGGCGUCCCCUUUUUUCAGAGCUGCAUUCUCUGCCUGCAGCUUUGCCAGCUGGGCCUUAAGUGCCGCCACAUCAUCGCUGCCCUCUGCUGGUGAGGCUUCCAUAGCAGCGCU